RNAcentral lists this transfer RNA (76 nucleotides) under Candidatus Microgenomates bacterium. Its description in RNAcentral is "tRNA-Arg". It matches the Rfam family "tRNA". Rfam says of the family: Transfer RNA (tRNA) molecules are approximately 80 nucleotides in length. Lineage: Bacteria; Candidatus Microgenomatota. The record is from RNAcentral.
GCGCCCAUAGUUCAACGGAUAGAACAUUUGGUUGCGGUCCAAAAGGUUGGGGGUUCAAUUCCUCCUGGGCGCACCA